RNAcentral lists this ribosomal RNA (253 nucleotides) under uncultured Crenothrix sp. RNAcentral describes it as "partial 16S ribosomal RNA". It matches the Rfam family "Bacterial small subunit ribosomal RNA", at positions 524 to 776 of the family's 1533-position model. Lineage: Bacteria; Pseudomonadati; Pseudomonadota; Gammaproteobacteria; Methylococcales; Crenotrichaceae. The record is from RNAcentral.
UACGGAGGGUGCAAGCGUUAAUCGGAAUUACUGGGCGUAAAGCGUGCGUAGGCGGCUUGUUAAGUCAGAUGUGAAAGCCCCGGGCUCAACCUGGGAACUGCAUUUGAAACUGGCAAGCUAGAGUUGAGUAGAGGGGAGUGGAAUUUCAGGUGUAGCGGUGAAAUGCGUAGAUAUCUGAAGGAACACCAGUGGCGAAGGCGACUCCCUGGACUCAAACUGACGCUGAGGCACGAAAGCGUGGGUAGCAAACAGG